CACGUAGGGUGCAAGCGUUGUCCGGAAUUAUUGGGCGUAAAGGGCUCGUAGGCGGUCCGUCACGUCGGGAGUGAAAACUCGGGGCUCAACCCCGAGCCUGCUUUCGAUACGGGCGGACUAGAGGUAGGUAGGGGAGAACGGAAUUCCUGGUGUAGCGGUGGAAUGCGCAGAUAUCAGGAGGAACACCGAUGGCGAAGGCGGUUCUCUGGGCCUUACCUGACGCUGAGGAGCGAAAGCGUGGGGAGCGAACAGG
Molecule: ribosomal RNA, 253 nt
Filed under: uncultured bacterium
Lineage: Bacteria
Description: partial 16S ribosomal RNA
Rfam family: Bacterial small subunit ribosomal RNA
Source: RNAcentral